This 818-nucleotide long non-coding RNA is filed under the name Homo sapiens (human). RNAcentral's name for it is "HSALNT0135254". Lineage: Eukaryota; Metazoa; Chordata; Mammalia; Primates; Hominidae. The record is from RNAcentral.
GAGGCUUCUUUUGAAGACUUGCUUUCACCCCUCAACACUCCAGGUUUUUCUAACAUGCCUAAAAACCCCACUCUCCAUGGAUACAAAGCUGGACAUGAGAUCCUGGCUUGGCUACUCAGAGUUCUCUCAAAUUUCCUGAAUUUGAGAAAUGAUGUUGUUAAUUACAAAUCUCUGCUCUUUCAUAUUGACUCUAAAAUGGAAUCUGCCUCUGUCACCAGGCUGGAGUGUAGUGGUGUGAUCUUGGCUCACUGCAACCUCUGCCUCCCGGGUUCAAGCAAUUUUCCUGCCUCAGCCUCCCAAGUAGCUGGGAUUACAGGCACGCACCACCAUGCCCAGCUAAUUUUUGUAUUUUUAGUAGAGACGAGGUUUCACCAUGUUGGCCAGGAUGGUCCCGAUCUCUUGACCUCGUGAUCCACCCGCCUUGGCUUCCCAAAGUGCUGGGAUUACAGGCUUGAGCCACUGCACCCAGCCUAUAUUGCUAAUAAACUAAUAUUAUCUCAUUGUUCUAAUAUUGUUUAUGUAUUAUCUCUUCCCUUUCAAUAUUUAUACUUAUUGCUUCCUUUUGUUUAUAAUUUAUGUCACUCCAUGUUUCAGAAUCAAGCAUCCUAUUUGAGUUGAGGUCUGUCACUAGCAUAAGAAUGAUAAAACAGUUGUGCAGUUCUGGGUCACAUGCAUUUAUUCCCAAUUGAAAUAAAAUGCAUCAAGAUUUUAUAUGUGAAGUAUAAUGAUUGCUAUAAAUUUUGGAACAUAGUCUUAAUGGAGAUUAGGACAUUCUUUUACAUUUCUUUUUUACUAAAAGUGAUUACCAAAACUUUUAG